RNAcentral lists this ribosomal RNA (468 nucleotides) under uncultured bacterium. Its description in RNAcentral is "partial 16S ribosomal RNA". It matches the Rfam family "Bacterial small subunit ribosomal RNA", at positions 28 to 507 of the family's 1533-position model. The record is from RNAcentral.
GACGAACGCUGGCGGCGUGCUUAACACAUGCAAGUCGAACGGAAAGGCCAUGCUUUUGUGGGGCGCUCGAGUGGCGAACUCGUGUGUAACACGUGAGUAACCUGCACUUGACUUUGGGAUAUCUUUAGGGAACUCGGGCUAAUACCGGGUAGGAUCUCCUGCUCCAUGUUGGUGGUUAGAGAGUUUCGGCGGUUGGGGAUGGACUCGCGGCUUAUCAGCUUGAUGGUGGGGUUGGGGCUUACCAAGGCUUCGAAGGGUAGCCGGCCUGAGAGGGUGACCGGCCACAUUGGGACUGAGAGACGGCCCAGACUCCUACGGGACGCAGCAGUGGGGAGUAUUGCACAAUGGGCGGAAGCCUGAUGCAGCAACGCCGCGUGCGGGAUGCCGGCCUUCGGGUUGUAAACCACUUUCGCCUGUGACGUAGAGUGAGUGACGGUAAUGGGUAAAGAAGCACCGGCUAACUACGUG